This is a long non-coding RNA of Pseudophryne corroboree (corroboree frog), 971 nucleotides long. RefSeq lists it as uncharacterized. NCBI's taxonomy places the organism in Eukaryota, Metazoa, Chordata, Amphibia, Anura, Myobatrachidae. The record is from RefSeq and is a predicted model, not a curated record. The transcript is spliced from 2 exons.
GAACACUAGGCUUUAUCCUUUACCUGGUUCCCAAGAGUACAGGACAUUGGCUGUGGAGCAGAGACUAACGUUGAGCUUAUUUAUUUAUUUACAGUCUAAGUUAUUUAAAAUUAUAUUUUACUAUUUUAAGUUUUAUAUUUUAUUAUAUUAGUAUAUAGUAAGAGUAUAUCGGAGAGAAGAGUGAGGAGUGAGGGAGCAGCCAUGGGCUGCAUCCCAUGCAACACGUGUUGGCCAUUCUUUUGGCGUAAGGCACAGCCGAGGGAUGCUCCCCUGUUAUCGCAGGAGAGUCAAGAGCCCGCGCUCCCCUCAGAGAGCCAGGAACACCAGUUACCCGCGGAGAGGCAAGUGCCCUCAUUACCCCAGGCACCGCCAGCCCCUCUUGCGCCCCGGGCAAGUGAGACACCACUGCCACCCAGGGCAAGGCAGAUACCACCGCCACCCAGGGCAAGGCAGAUACCACCACCACCCAGGGCAAGGCAAACACCACCACCUCCUCGGACAAGACAGCCACCUCCACCAUCAUGGGGAAAUCAUGCACCCACGCAACCCCGAGUGAGGAAGGCACCACCGCCACCUCGGGAGAGAAAGUCACCACCUCCCCCUCGGAAGAGAAAGGCACCACCACCACCUCGUGAGGGAAAGGUGCCCACUCCAUAGAGGCAUCCGACCCCACCAUAACCACCAGAGGCAUGCUCCCCCACUACAACAUCAGGGAGGAAUGCGCCCCCACAACCACCAUCAGGGAGGCACGUGCCCCAAUACCACCAUCAGGGAGGCUUGCACCCCCACUACCACCAUCAGGGAGGUAUGCACCCCCACUACCAUCAGAGGCAUAAAGCAUGUGUGCCCCAAAAACACCAGGGACGCAUGUGCCCCCACCACCAUCAGAGAGGCAAGCACCACCAUCAGAAAAGUUGCUUGCCGACACAAUCUAUUAUUUAUAAAUAAAUAAAAAAAAUUAUUAAAAUGUU